UGGGGAAGGAGAGCACCUGAGGGAGAUCGGAGGGGUUUCUCAGGUUACAGUUGGGUUUUUUCUCAACAUAUGGGAUUUUGGGCGAGUUGUGGCGGUGUGAGUGGGUCUCUGAUUGAGACUUCUAAGAGAAAAAACAAAGGAAAAAGUGAAAGGUAUGACCUAUUCUAUUGAUUUUUUCUUUUUCAUUUCAUUUUUUUCUUUGGAGAUCUACAGGG
Molecule: long non-coding RNA, 215 nt
Filed under: Elaeis guineensis (African oil palm)
Lineage: Eukaryota; Viridiplantae; Streptophyta; Magnoliopsida; Arecales; Arecaceae
Description: long non-coding RNA (EGUI_LNC006229)
Source: RNAcentral